GACGAACGCUGGCGGCGUGCCUAAUACAUGCAAGUUGAGCGCUGAAGGUUGGUACUUGUACCAACUGGAUGAGCAGCGAACGGGUGAGUAACGCGUGGGGAAUCUGCCUUUGAGCGGGGGACAACAUUUGGAAACGAAUGCUAAUACCGCAUAAAAACUUUAAACACAAGUUUUAAGUUUGAAAGAUGCAAUUGCAUCACUCAAAGAUGAUCCCGCGUUGUAUUAGCUAGUUGGUGAGGUAAAGGCUCACCAAGGCGAUGAUACAUAGCCGACCUGAGAGGGUGAUCGGCCACAUUGGGACUGAGACACGGCCCAAGCUCCUAAGGGAGGCAGCAGUAGGGAAUCUUCGGCAAUGGAGGAAAGUCUGACCGAGCAACGCCGCGUGAGUGAAGAAGGGUUUCGGAUCGUAAAACUCUGUUGGUAGAGAAGAACGUUGGUGAGAGUGGAAAGCUCAUCAAGUGACGGUAACUACCCAGAAAGGGACGGCUAACUACGUG
This 497-nucleotide ribosomal RNA is filed under the name uncultured bacterium. Its description in RNAcentral is "partial 16S ribosomal RNA". It matches the Rfam family "Bacterial small subunit ribosomal RNA", at positions 28 to 507 of the family's 1533-position model. The record is from RNAcentral.